Molecule: long non-coding RNA, 1059 nt
Organism: Mauremys reevesii (Reeves's turtle)
Lineage: Eukaryota; Metazoa; Chordata; Testudines; Geoemydidae
Exons: 3
Source: RefSeq, a predicted model, not a curated record
GAGGAAUACAAGCAUCAUCAGACACCAGGAGGAAGGUCCUGUGAAUCCACGAUUAACCCCCACUCUGCAGGCCAAGAUGCACUAUCAACUGGAAUAUUGGGCCACACUGCUGAUAAGAUCUUUUAAUUAAGAAGAUUGAGGAGUGACCACAACAGCAUCAUAGAUCUCCCAGAGCAGUAAUGUAGGCAGGUGAACUGGAUACAUAGAGGUAAAACGCCUGAGAUACAUGAAGUCCACAAACAAGCAUAAGUGGUAAAACCAUUCCUGAACAUGAAGAGGGGGAUGAAAAGGAACUCAAACUGGAUGUUCCAGUUUGAAGAGGAGAAAAUAAAGUCUGCUUUUUUGAAAGAGUCUUGGCAGGUUCAUUCAAGAGGACAAGGAACUGAUGCUGGACUAUUUCCAGAAUAAGAAGGAAAUGAAAUUUGAGGACCAACAGUUUCAAAGAAAAAUCUUCAAUACGUACAUAAAGGUCUCAGUAAAAGGAGACAGCAAAGCUAACCUGACAACUGGCCUCUGCACCUAUGCCUGUACCACAUGCUCUCCACAACAUGGUUAAUUAAUCAAGACAAUUCUACUACCUGGACUACCACUAAGUCUCCAACUUAUUCAUAUCCAUUCCCCAAACAUUCCACCCUUUCAGUCCCCCAAAGAAAGGAAAAUUAACAUCCAGGAGAUGUACUUUAUGUCCCGAUGCAAUAUUAUCCCCCUUUUGCCCUGGAUUUUAUAAAUAUGCUCCCUUGGCUUGGAUAUUGCAGCUGGUCUGCAUGUAUGUAUUUGUAUCAUAAAGUAGAUUCUGGAAAAGAUUCUCUGUGUAAUUAGCAGAUUAGUUGGACUGAUCUUUAAUAUCAAUACAACAAUAAUUGACUCCUUGAUACACUCUGACUAUAACGAAUACAAAUUACUAACAAACCAUGAGAAAAACACAUAACUAUCAACAAUAUAAUCAGUCCUUUCACAAAAGCAUAGUAGCAGUUGCUGAUAAAUGCCCGGUCAAUGCAUCCAUGCUACUACACUGUGAAACUACUCCACAUACAAAUUAAGUGAAUUAGAUAAUUACAC